GCCCACAUAGCUCAGUGGUAGAGCACUUCCUUGGUAAGGAAGAGGUCACCGGUUCAAAUCCGGUUGUGGGCUCCA
Molecule: transfer RNA, 75 nt
Filed under: Gammaproteobacteria bacterium
Lineage: Bacteria; Pseudomonadati; Pseudomonadota; Gammaproteobacteria
Also listed under: 3 other names
Description: tRNA-Thr
Rfam family: tRNA
About the family: Transfer RNA (tRNA) molecules are approximately 80 nucleotides in length.
Source: RNAcentral